AACGAACGCUGGCGGCAGGCCUAACACAUGCAAGUCGAACGCCGUAGCAAUACGGAGUGGCAGACGGGUGAGUAACACGUGGGAACGUACCCUCGGUUCGGGAGUAACUCAGGGAAACGUUAGAGCUAAUAACCGGAUAUGACCUCGGCCGACAUCGGCUGUGGUGGAAAGAUUUAUCGGCCAGGGAGUGGGCUCGCGGCCUAUCAGCUAGUUGGUGGGAACGG
RNAcentral lists this ribosomal RNA (224 nucleotides) under uncultured bacterium. Its description in RNAcentral is "partial 16S ribosomal RNA". It matches the Rfam family "Bacterial small subunit ribosomal RNA", at positions 29 to 263 of the family's 1533-position model. The record is from RNAcentral.